GCUGGGUGUGGUGGCCCAUACCUGUAAUCCCAGCAGCUUGGGAAGCUGAGGCAGGAGGAUCACGAGUUCAAAGCCAGCCUCAACAAAUUAGCAAGGCCCUAAGCAACUCAGCAAGACCCUGUCUCUA
This 127-nucleotide small RNA is filed under the name Marmota monax (woodchuck). Lineage: Eukaryota; Metazoa; Chordata; Mammalia; Rodentia; Sciuridae. The record is from RNAcentral.